This 443-nucleotide ribosomal RNA is filed under the name uncultured bacterium. RNAcentral's name for it is "partial 16S ribosomal RNA". It matches the Rfam family "Bacterial small subunit ribosomal RNA", at positions 338 to 795 of the family's 1533-position model. The record is from RNAcentral.
CCUACGGGUGGCAGCAGUGUGGAAUAUUUUUCCCUUUGCUCCCUCCUUCCCCCGCCCCGCCGCGUGCCGGAAGAAGGCUUUCGGGUUGUAAACUUCUUUUGUCAGGGACGAAGCAAGUGACGGUACCUGACGAAUAAGCCACGGCUAACUACGUGCCAGCAGCCGAGGUAAUACGUAGGUGGCAAGCGUUAUCCGGAUUUACUGGGUGUAAAGGGCGUGUAGGCGGGACUGCAAGUCAGAUGUGAAAACCACGGGCUCAACCUGUGGCCUGCAUUUGAAACUGUAGUUCUUGAGUACUGGAGAGGCAGACGGAAUUCCUAGUGUAGCGGUGAAAUGCGUAGAUAUUAGGAGGAACACCAGUGGCGACGGCGGUCUGCUGGACAGCAACUGACGCUGAGGCGCGAAAGCGUGGGGAGCAAACAGGAUUAGAUACCCCUGUAGUC